UUAAAAAUUCGUGUGCUAGUUUUAUAAAUUACUACGCCAUUCUUAGUCCGUGGUGGCCAUAUUUCAUUUCAUAAAUCCUUGUUGAGUUUAACGUUAAAUGACUACAUCAAGCCGGUAGGCAGGGGGGGGGGGUUCGGGUGGUUCGAACGAACCCCCCCUCACUGCCAAAAGGUCCAGAAUUUAAGUCGUUUUUUCGCUUGAUUAUUGUCAUCAUUGUUUUAAUCAAUGCUUGUGACAAAUAUUCUGGGUUCCUGUUUCAAAUUAAUAUGAUACAUUAUUGAAGCUGAACGCAUGAUUUCUGUCAUUUUCUGAUGCUCGUUUUAUUUGACUCAACGCUCAGCGCUCGUUUGACUUCUGGCUGCGCAGACCGAUCGGCAUGUGACGUCUUAGCACCGCGAGACCGAUUCAAUAGUAAAUGACUCAGUAUGCUUUUAAAUAGAUCUCGCGGUAGUGUGGUGUCACAAGCCAACAGGUCUGAGCUGCACCCCGUUAAGUAAGAUAAAGUCAAAAUUAUUCCGAGAUGACCAAUAAAAUCAGACCAGGCAGACAGAGGUGCAACACAGGGGUCAGAUGCGCAGUUAGUGGAAGUGCAAGAAAGAUGCCAUCAUAUAUGCCCUGUCUGUCCUCCGGAAUUGAUCAUUACAGGAGGCUGAGCGGGUCUUCCUUUCUGGUCCAAAAUAUGAUUACAGUGAAUGGGAAGAAUUUAAUCGAAAGAUUGAAAAACAAUUGAGGAAAGAAGGGAGAUCAUUCAAUUGAGUUCAAGCCUGCAACCAUUCUUUAAUUGCAGCAGCUGAUGGAUUGGUUGCAUUGUUAUUGGUUGCAUUGUUUGUUGCAAUGUUACUGGUAAAAUCACAUGUAAAUAUAUAGAUAUAUACAUAUAAAUAUACAUUCUU
Long non-coding RNA from Misgurnus anguillicaudatus (oriental weatherfish), 893 nucleotides. RefSeq lists it as uncharacterized. NCBI's taxonomy places the organism in Eukaryota, Metazoa, Chordata, Actinopteri, Cypriniformes, Cobitidae. The record is from RefSeq and is a predicted model, not a curated record.